CGCAUACCGCCGACCGGCCCAUGCCCUAGCUUCACUGCCCGACGCUUACUUCGAUCGCCGAUGCCCUAGCCGAGCCCUGCUGAAGCUGUGCCCUUGCUCUGCCGCCGGCCACAGAAUAGGGUUUUUAAUCUGCUGCGGCUAAAUUGGUUUUCUGAUCAGUUGAGCGUCAACAGGAGCUUGGGAUUUAGUAACUUUGUGAUCCCCAGCAGCGG
This is a long non-coding RNA of Zingiber officinale, 212 nucleotides long. RefSeq lists it as uncharacterized. The transcript has 3 exons. The record is from RefSeq and is a predicted model, not a curated record. Lineage: Eukaryota; Viridiplantae; Streptophyta; Magnoliopsida; Zingiberales; Zingiberaceae.